RNAcentral lists this ribosomal RNA (501 nucleotides) under uncultured bacterium. RNAcentral's name for it is "bacterial SSU rRNA". It matches the Rfam family "Bacterial small subunit ribosomal RNA", at positions 94 to 630 of the family's 1533-position model. The record is from RNAcentral.
AGCGGCAGACGGGAGAGUAACACGUGGGAACAUUCCCUUUGGUUCGGAAUAACUCAAGGAAACUUGAGCUAAUACCGGAUACGCCCUUACGGGGAAAGAUUUAUUGCCGAAGGAUUGGCCCGCGUCCGAUUAGCUAGUUGGUGAGGUAACGGCUCACCAAGGCGACGAUCGGUAGCUGGUCUGAGAGGAUGAUCAGCCGCAUUGGGACUGAGACACGGCCCAAACUCCUACGGGAGGCAGCAGUGGGGAAUAUUGGACAAUGGGCGCAAGCCUGAUCCAGCCAUGCCGCGUGGGUGAUGAAGGCCUUAGGGUUGUAAAGCCCUUUCGGCGGGGAAGAUAAUGACGGUACCCGCAGAAGAAGCCCCGGCUAACUUCGUGCCAGCAGCCGCGGUAAUACGAAGGGGGCUAGCGUUGCUCGGAAUCACUGGGCGUAAAGCGCACGUAGGCGGACUCUUAAGUCGGUGGUGAAAUCCUGGAGCUCAACUCCAGAACUGCCUUCGA